AGUCGGGGAAAAGAAUUACAUGGACAACUCUGAUGAGAGAAUCAAAGAUCCAGGAGGCUUGCCAAGGAAAACUACUUUCAGAGUUCACAUAGGAUUUUCUUAUCCGCUCCCUUUGUUAUCCCUUCCUGAGGUUUCCAACUAACUCGCAAAAGAAAAAGAGGCAGGUGAUCUCAAGUGGGUAACCUUGCUAGAAGCCUAGAAUACUAUCUAUAUCGGGCAGCAAUGUGGAUAUCAUCUGUUUUUAUAAUGACAUAAUCACUGCUAAGAAAAGUUGAUGCAAAAAAUCUUUAUGGCGUCUUUUAGAUGUCCGUUCACGCUCUGCUCGUGAGAAACAUCUCCUGCAAGCAAGAAAUCAGAUCCUCCAAGUCCUACAUCCAUUUUGGGUGAGGUCUUAAGUUGUUACAAAUAAUAUCAAAACGGACCCAGCCCAUAACCUAUAUGCACUAGG
RNAcentral lists this long non-coding RNA (448 nucleotides) under Phoenix dactylifera (date palm). Its description in RNAcentral is "long non-coding RNA (PDAC_LNC005855)". The record is from RNAcentral. Lineage: Eukaryota; Viridiplantae; Streptophyta; Magnoliopsida; Arecales; Arecaceae.